CAGAGUACUAUACUCAUAACCCUUUGUGAACCUUUAUAACUUGUUGCUUCGGCGGCGCGAGCCCCUCGGGGAGCGUGCCCGCCGGUGUCAUCAGAAUCUCUGUUCGAACCCGACGAUACUUCUGAGUGUUCUAAGCGAGCUGUUA
Molecule: unclassified non-coding RNA, 145 nt
Filed under: soil metagenome
Description: partial internal transcribed spacer 1
Source: RNAcentral